Molecule: ribosomal RNA, 114 nt
Filed under: Anolis carolinensis (green anole)
Lineage: Eukaryota; Metazoa; Chordata; Lepidosauria; Squamata; Anolidae
Source: RNAcentral
GCCUAAAUAAUACUUUAAAAGCAUCAAAUCACAUAUGAUCUUGGAAGCUAAGUGGUGUCAGCCCUGGUUAUACUUGGAUGGGAAACUGCCAAUGGAUACCAGGUGCUUUAGGCU